AAAUGAACCCAAAAUUCCCGUGGAGCCCACAUUAAGAGAAUCUGAGCUUCCUGUUGUGGCAAAUAUCAAAAGUAACCACAAACCCUCGCUAGCCGGCAUCAACCAUAUGGCCUUUAGCAGGGUAAUUCAUAAAACAAACCAAAUACCUUCUAUCAAUUCCAAUAUCAAUAAGCAACAUAUCAAACCAGGACUUUUGCCCAAAAUAUCUCAAUCUGUUAAGCUCUCUACCCGGAGCCACAUUUUUUCUUUAACCUUAAUAACUUCUACAAUAUAUGCCUGCAUUCACUCUCCCUGGUGUUACAGACAUUCAUCACAACUCUCUACUUGGAGGUAGUGACUAAUUUUUCCCUAUCUGAGUUCUGAACCGUGGAUGAAAAUCCCCACCUGAUUCAGGUAAUCUCUUUACUCUCUUCUUUCUAAAAACAAACUUACUCACCUUUUAAUACCUGUGAUUAAGAGAUAGCUUGUCUAACUAGGAUUUCAACCCAAAAUUCCCGUGAAGCCCACGUUAAAAAGAAUAUGAGUAUCCUGAAAGACUUUCUAAACAACUUUCUUUAAAAAGCAGCUUUUAAUCUCUAACUCUCUGAGCUGCCAUUACUUAAUACACAGUAGGGG
RNAcentral lists this long non-coding RNA (615 nucleotides) under Rattus norvegicus (Norway rat). RNAcentral's name for it is "long non-coding RNA NONRATT001763". Lineage: Eukaryota; Metazoa; Chordata; Mammalia; Rodentia; Muridae. The record is from RNAcentral.